GGCUAUAGAUGGAACGGCGGACCAGUUUAUAUGACACUGAUCUGUAAUUUUGUAUAAUAUGAUCACUUGGUAUUUCUCUCUAUGUACGUGCAACGAAGAUGACAGACAGUGGACAUCAAAAGGAGGAAAAACAAGUUAAACAUAGACGGGAUAGUUUUCCAGUUUCGUUGAUGAAACAUUCAUCACAGUUCAAGAAAUUGGAGGUCACCAGACACUUCUAUCAAAAGGAAUUUGUUUAAAGAAACACAAAAGUUUAGAAGGCAGACAAAAUGGCAGAAGUUACUACAACCACAGAGAACAUUAGUGAAGGAUACAUUUUGAGGAAGAUCUUUAGAGAUAGCUUUGGUUGAACGGAAUAAUGGAAACAUGUAUUUAGGAAUAUUACAUUUACAAAGAUGAUUGUUCGAAAAGUUAUGAAGAGUUUGAAGAUGAAUAAUUCCAACUAUACAUGCAGAUCUGCAUGUCACUAAAAGAUCAGAUUACUAAACGAUUAGUACCAGAUGCAUUAUAACGAAGCUUCAAGUUGUCUCUCAGUUUGUCUGUAAUAAAUAAGAGCAUUGGAAUUUUCUUUUAAAUUCUUUAAAUUUUGUAUCAUGUAAUACUUUUAAGAUUAUUUUUAUAUAGAACAAAAUUCAUAUUGAAUGUAGAAUAAAUUAAUUCUGUGUC
Molecule: long non-coding RNA, 666 nt
Organism: Mytilus trossulus (common blue mussel)
Lineage: Eukaryota; Metazoa; Mollusca; Bivalvia; Mytilida; Mytilidae
Exons: 3
Source: RefSeq, a predicted model, not a curated record